RNAcentral lists this ribosomal RNA (485 nucleotides) under uncultured bacterium. RNAcentral's name for it is "bacterial SSU rRNA". It matches the Rfam family "Bacterial small subunit ribosomal RNA", at positions 29 to 507 of the family's 1533-position model. The record is from RNAcentral.
AUGAACGCUAGCUACAGGCUUAACACAUGCAAGUCGAGGGGCAGCACAGUGUAGCAAUACACGGGUGGCGACCGGCGCACGGGUGCGUAACGCGUAUCCAACCUUCCCGUUACUCUUGGAUAGCCUUCCGAAAGGGAGAUUAAUACAAGAUGGUAUUCAAAUUCCGCAUGUUAUUUGAAUUAAAGAUUUAUCGGUAACGGAUGGGGAUGCGUGACAUUAGCUAGAUGGAGAGGUAACGGCUCCCCAUGGCGACGAUGUCUAGGGGUUCUGAGAGGAAGGUCCCCCACACUGGAACUGAGACACGGUCCAGACUCCUACGGGAGGCAGCAGUGAGGAAUAUUGGACAAUGGAUGGAAAUCUGAUCCAGCCAUGCCGCGUGCAGGACUACAGUCCUAUGGAUUUUAAACUGCUUUUGUAUGGGAGCAAUAAGUGCUACGAGUAGCGCGAUGAGAGUACCAUACGAAUAAGCAUCGGCUAACUCCGUG